UACGAAGGGGGCUAGCGUUGCUCGGAAUCACUGGGCGUAAAGGGCGCGUAGGCGGGCUCUUAAGUCAGGGGUGAAAGCCCCGGGCUCAACCUGGGAAUGCCAUUCGAGACUGCAUAGCUAGGGUGCGGAAGAGGGAAGCGGAAUUUCCGGUGUAGCGGUGAAAUGCGUAGAUAUCGGAAGGAACACCAGUGGCGAAAGCGGCUUCCUGGUCCAGCACCGACGUUCAGGCACGAAAGCGUGGGGAGCAAACAGG
This 253-nucleotide ribosomal RNA is filed under the name uncultured bacterium. RNAcentral's name for it is "partial 16S ribosomal RNA". It matches the Rfam family "Bacterial small subunit ribosomal RNA", at positions 524 to 776 of the family's 1533-position model. The record is from RNAcentral.